GAUGAACGCUGGCGGCGUGCCUAAUACAUGCAAGUCGAGCGAACAGACGAGGCGCUUGCUCCUCUGACGUUAGCGGCGGACGGGUGAGUAACAAGUGGAUAACCUCCCUAUAAGACUGGGAUAACUUCGGGACACCGGAGCUAAUACCGGAUCAUAUAUUGAACCGCAUGGUUCAAUAGUGAAAGACGGUUUUGCUGUCACUUAUAGAUGGAUCCGCGCCGCAUUAGCUAGUUUGUAAGGUAACGGGUUACUAAGGCAACGAUGGGUAGCCGACGGGAGAGGGUGAUCGGCGACACGGGAGGUGAGACACGGUCCAGGCGCCUACGGGAGGCAGCAGUAGGGAACCGGCCGCAAUGGGCGAAAGCCUGACGGAGCAACGCCGCGUGAGUGAUGAAGGUGUUCGGAUCGUAAAACUCUGUUAUUAGGGAAGAACAAAUGUGUAAGUAACUAUGCACGUCUUGACGGUACCUAAUCAGAAAGCCACGGCUAACUACGUG
Molecule: ribosomal RNA, 497 nt
Filed under: uncultured bacterium
Lineage: Bacteria
Description: partial 16S ribosomal RNA
Rfam family: Bacterial small subunit ribosomal RNA
Source: RNAcentral